UACAGAGGUGGCAAGCGUUGUUCGGAAUUACUGGGCGUAAAGGGCUCGUAGGCGGCCAACUAAGUCGGACGUGAAAUCCCUCGGCUUAACCGGGGAGCUGCGUCCGAUACUGGAUGGCUUGAGUUCGGGAGAGGGAUGCGGAAUUCCAGGUGUAGCGGUGAAAUGCGUAGAUAUCUGGAGGAACACCGGUGGCGAAGGCGGCAUCCUGGACCGACACUGACGCUGAGGAGCGAAAGCCAGGGGAGCAAACGGG
This 253-nucleotide ribosomal RNA is filed under the name uncultured bacterium. RNAcentral describes it as "partial 16S ribosomal RNA". It matches the Rfam family "Bacterial small subunit ribosomal RNA", at positions 524 to 776 of the family's 1533-position model. The record is from RNAcentral.